CCCUUAGAUGUUCUGGGCUGCACGCGCGCUACACUGAUGCACUCAACGAGUUUACGACCUUGCCCGAUAGGGUUGGGUAAUCUUUUUAAAAUGCAUCGUGAUGGGGAUAGAUUAUUGCAAUUAUUAAUCUUCAACGAGGAAUUCCUAGUAAGCGCGAGUCAUCAGCUCGUGCUGAUUACGUCCCUGCCCUUUGUACACACCGCCCGUCGCUCCUACCGAUUGAGUGCUCAGGUGAAUAAUUCGGACUGCAGGAAUGUUUGGAUCCCGAACGUUGCAGCGGAAAGUUUAGUGAACCUUAUCACUUAGAGGAAGGAGAAGUCGUAACA
Molecule: ribosomal RNA, 326 nt
Filed under: uncultured eukaryote
Lineage: Eukaryota
Description: partial 18S ribosomal RNA
Rfam family: Eukaryotic small subunit ribosomal RNA
Source: RNAcentral